UAAAUAGAUGUUCAAACAGGGCUUUUUACUAAAGGGAGAAUUGUUGCGAAUUCAAGGUCAAUUCAAAUGAAUUUCUAAUUUAAGGUCAAAAUGGAAAAUCAUCUCCAAUUCGAUUAUGCUUCUAGUUGGGCUACUUUGGCCCAUUCACUGUGAAUUCCCAACAGUUGUCACUUUAGCAAAUAAGCCUGAUGGAUUCUCCAAAGGUAUUAUCUAAGCAUUAUUUUAUGGUCAGCUAAAAAAGAACUUUGUAUCUUGGGUGAACUGGGUAUUUUUCAAAGUUUCUUGGUAUAGCCUUAAUUUUGCAAGUUUGACACAUUUAGCAAAUAGACCAUUUGAACACAGGAACCUUUUAAUAAUAUAAUUUCUAAAAAUCAGAAA
Pelobates cultripes (western spadefoot toad) is the source of this 378-nucleotide non-coding RNA. The record is from the annotation of a GenBank genome assembly. Lineage: Eukaryota; Metazoa; Chordata; Amphibia; Anura; Pelobatidae.